Molecule: long non-coding RNA, 1052 nt
Filed under: Vitis vinifera (wine grape)
Lineage: Eukaryota; Viridiplantae; Streptophyta; Magnoliopsida; Vitales; Vitaceae
Description: long non-coding RNA (VVIN_LNC004354)
Source: RNAcentral
UUGUUUACUAGUGAUCUUAUGUUUCUCUUUUGUACUUUCCCAAUGAGAUGUUUUGCAACAAUAAAUGGCUGCUUAGGUGUUAAGGAAUGUUUUAAGGUAGUACCUAGGGUGCCUUAAGGUAGUACCUAAGGGCCAUUAAGGCAGUACCUAAGGGCUCUCAAGGUAGUACCUAAAGUACAGUCACAAAAAAACCAUUGGUGGACCACUUGUUCACACAUGAGAACCACAUAAUGGCAUGGUAUGAGGGUCACUAAGCAAGGCCCGAGGCUUGGGAGAGGUUGAGUUAAGGUUUAGCUAAGGUAGUACCUAGGGUCCCUUAAGGUAGUACCUAAGAGUAUAGUAGUCCCAAAAAACCAUUGGUGGACCACUUGUUCACCCAUGAGAACCACAUAAUGGUAUGGUAUGAGGGUUACUAAGCAAGGCUCGAGGUUUGGGAGAGGUUGAGUUAAGGUUUAGCUAAGGUAGUACCUAGGGUCCCUUAAGGUAGUACCUAAGGUACAGUCCCAAAAAACCAUAGGUGGACCACUUGUUCACACAUGAGAACCACAUAAUGGCAUGGUAUGAGGGUCACUAAGCAAGACUCGAGGCUUGGGAGAGGUUGAGUGAAGGUUUAGCUAAGGUAGUACCUAGGGUCCCUUAAGGUAGUACCUAAAGGCCAUUAAGGUAGUACCUAAAGGCCAUUAAGGUAGUACUUAAGGGCUCUUAAGGUAGUACCUAAGGUAUAGUCCCAAAAAACCAUAGGUGGACCACUUGUUCACACAUGAGAACCACAUAAUGGCAUGAUAUGAGGGUCACUAAGCAAGACCCGAGGCUUGGGAGAGGUUGAAUUAAGGUUUAGCUAAGGUAGUACCUAGGGUCCCUUAAGAUAGUACCUAAAGGCCAUUAAGGUAGUACCUAAGGGCUCUUAAGGUAGUACCUAAGGUACAGUCCCAAAAAACCAUUGGUGGACCACUUGUUCACACAUGAGAACCACAUAAUGACAUGGUAUGAGGGUCACUAAGCAAGGCCCGAGGCUUGGGAGAGGUUGAGUUAAGGUUUAGCUAAGGUAGUAC